RNAcentral lists this unclassified non-coding RNA (348 nucleotides) under soil metagenome. RNAcentral describes it as "partial contains 5.8S ribosomal RNA, internal transcribed spacer 2, and large subunit ribosomal RNA". The stretch from base 1 to 119 matches the Rfam family "5.8S ribosomal RNA", at positions 36 to 154 of the family's 154-position model. The record is from RNAcentral.
AUGAAGAACGUAGCGAAAUGCGAUAAGUAAUGUGAAUUGCAGAAUUCAGUGAAUCAUCGAAUCUUUGAACGCACAUUGCGCCCGCCAGUAUUCUGGCGGGCAUGCCUGUCCGAGCGUCAUUUCAACCCUCGAACCCCUCCGGGGGGUCGGCGUUGGGGAUCGGCCCCUCACCGGGCCGCCCCCGAAAUCCAGUGGCGGUCUCGCCGCAGCCUCUCCUGCGCAGUAGUUUGCACACUCGCACCGGGAGCGCGGCGCGGCCACAGCCGUAAAACACCCCAAACUCUGAAAUGUUGACCUCGGAUCAGGUAGGAAUACCCGCUGAACUUAAGCAUAUCAAUAAGCGGAGGA